RNAcentral lists this ribosomal RNA (442 nucleotides) under uncultured bacterium. RNAcentral describes it as "partial 16S ribosomal RNA". It matches the Rfam family "Bacterial small subunit ribosomal RNA", at positions 338 to 795 of the family's 1533-position model. The record is from RNAcentral.
CCUACGGGAGGCAGCAGUGGGGAAUAUUGGGCAAUGGACGCAAGUCUGACCCAGCAACGCCGCGUGAAGGAAGAAGGCUUUCGGGUUGUAAACUUCCUUUAAGGGGGAAGAGCAGAAGACGGUACCCCUUGAAUAAGCCACGGCUAAAUAAGUGCCAGCAGCCGCGGUCAUACGUAGGUGGGCAGCGUUGUCCGGAUUUACUGGGUGAAAAGGGCGUGCAGCCGGAGAGACAAGUCAGAUGUGAAAUCCACGGGCUCAACCCGCGAACUGCAGUUGAAACUGUUUCCCUUGAGUGUGGGAGAAGUAAGCGGAAUGCCUGGUGUAGCGGUGAAAUGCGUAGAUAUUAGGAAGAACUCCAGUUGCGAAGGCGGAUUACUGGACGAUAACUGACGGUCAGGCGCGAAAGCGUGGGGAGCGAACAGGAUUAGAUACCCGUGUAGUC